RNAcentral lists this ribosomal RNA (316 nucleotides) under uncultured Bacteroidales bacterium. RNAcentral's name for it is "partial 16S ribosomal RNA". Lineage: Bacteria; Pseudomonadati; Bacteroidota; Bacteroidia; Bacteroidales. The record is from RNAcentral.
GGAGUUUGGACCGUGUCUCAGUUCCAAUGUGGGGGACCUUCCUCUCAGAACCCCUACGCAUCGUCGCCUUGGUGGGCCGUUGCCCCGCCAACUAGCUAAUGCGCCGCAUGCCCAUCCCUGGACGAAAUUCUAUCACACGGCCGUCAUGCGGCAGCCGUGCAUACGGGGUAUUAGGCCGCGUUUCCGCGGGUUAUCCCCCAACCAGGGGCAGGUUGCAUACGUGUUACUCACCAGUGCGCCGGUCGCCAUCAGAAGUAUUGCUACCUCCAUGCUGCCCCUCGACUUGCAUGUGUUAAGCCUGUCGCUAGCGUUCAUC